Molecule: ribosomal RNA, 571 nt
Filed under: uncultured fungus
Lineage: Eukaryota; Fungi
Description: eukaryotic LSU rRNA
Rfam family: 5.8S ribosomal RNA (bases 180-333)
Source: RNAcentral
CGGAGGGAUCAUUACACAAAUAUGAAGGCGGUGCUGUAGAUAGUGUGAUGUCGCUGAGCUGAAUUAUUCAACCCUUGUCUUUAUGUCGCUGCUUAUGCUCGCUGUGGGUUCGCCCACCACAUGCUCGUGAUUAAACCUUUUGUAAUUGCAAUCAGCGUCAGUAACAAAUUAAAUGCUGCUCGAUUCAACAACGGAUCAUGCUGCUCGUGCAUCGAUGAAGAACGCAGCGAAAUAUGCUCGCUGUAGUGAAAUGCUCGCUGUAGAGAAUCAUCGAAUCUUUGAACGCAUAUGCUCGCUGAUGAUAUUCCAAAGGGCAUGCCUGUUCGAGCGUCAUUAUGCUCGUGAAGCUUUGCUUGGUGUUGGGCGUCAUGCUGCUCGUAUUGCUGGAGACUCGCCUUAAAGUAAUUAUGUCGCUGCCUACUGGUUAUGUCGCUCGUCACAAUGCUCGUAGAUUAUCAUGCUGCUCGUAGCAUCCAUUAAGCCUUUUUUCAACUUUUGACCUCGGAUAUGUCGCUUACCCGCUGAACUUAAGCAUAUAGUCGCUGAUGAUGCUCGUGAUAUAGUGUCGCUG